UACGGCCGCAUCAUGUCGAAACAUCGGUUCCCAUACGAUCACUGAAGUUAAGCAACGUUGAAUCAGGCCAGUAUUUAGAUGGCUACCCGCUUGGGAAUACCAGGUAC
This is a non-coding RNA of Acanthosepion pharaonis, 107 nucleotides long. NCBI's taxonomy places the organism in Eukaryota, Metazoa, Mollusca, Cephalopoda, Sepiida, Sepiidae. The record is from the annotation of a GenBank genome assembly.